Molecule: RNA transcript, 1911 nt
Organism: Arabidopsis lyrata subsp. lyrata
Lineage: Eukaryota; Viridiplantae; Streptophyta; Magnoliopsida; Brassicales; Brassicaceae
Exons: 3
Source: RefSeq, a predicted model, not a curated record
AUGUUUCCAUCCAUGGAGUUUAUAAAACCCUUAGGCAAAGGUUCGUAUGGUUCCGUGGAUCUCGUCAGAUUCACGAAACCCGACGGCUCGAACCCGUACUACCAAGCCGUGAAAACCUCUUACCCACAAGACUUCGAGUCUCUCCUCAAAGAGUUUAAGAUUCUAUCUAAACUCAGAGAAUGUCCUAGAAUCGUGCAAACUUGCGGGACAAGUCUCUCGAGAGGUGUCAAUGAUUACGGAAUCAGAGUUUAUAGAAUGGUAAUGGAGUAUGCAGCUGGUGGAAGUUUAACUUCUUUAAUGGAAACAAGAUUAUUGACUGAUUCGAUGAUAAGAGACUUCACUCGUAUGAUCCUUGAAGGACUUGUCUCUAUCCAUAGUCACGGUUAUGUUCAUUGCGAUCUCAAACCGGAAAAUAUUCUCGUGUUUCCUCGUACUUGUGAAGGCAGUGUAUCAUAUGAAUUGAAGAUUUCAGAUUUUGGAAUGUCGACAAAAGUUGGAGAAGACUCAGAGUUUUGGGAAUAUGAUUCUCCGUUUUUGGGAACAUCUCUUUACAUGUCGCCAGAAUCUGUUCAAAACGGGAUCGCGGAGGAAGCCCUAGAUUUGUGGUCAUUAGGUUGUAUCGUGUUGGAGAUGUAUACCGGAGAACCACCAUGGCAGUUGGAAGAUUCUAAGAAGCUUUUGCCACUUUUGUUGAAUGAGAAUGCACCAGAGAUCCCAGUCUCUCUUCCUUGGGACGCAAGACAGUUUUUACAAACGUGUUUCGCAAGUAAUCCUUUGGAGAGAGGAAGCGCUUCAGAGCUAUUGAAGCAUAAGUUUCUACAGAAUGUUUCCAAUGACAAGAAGGGGAGAGUUACCGGCGCCGGAGAUAAGAGAACGUCGGUUUUGGUAUUGAAGUCUAAGUACUUUUCAAAAAAGCCCCUAAAAAUCAAGAUUAUUCCAAGAAAGCCACGGCAGUUUAAGAGAAUUUCGAAUAGACCCUUGAGGUUGAAGAUUAUACCCCCGAAACCCCCAGGAUGCAAUCUUGUUCCGGUUCAGUAGUAGUGUGUCAGUAUUAACCGAUACAUCCCUUAAACUAGGUCAAGACCCAAAGUGCUCCUCCUCUCCGAUUUGCUCCGUCGAUUGCGUGAUGUCGUCGUUUGCAGGUUCAGUGAUUCAUGAAGAGGACAAGUUAGGUAAUUCCAUGUCUUUUUUUUGUGUUCUGCUUUUUUCUUUCGCUUGGCUUCAAAUACUACGUCUGUUGUUUAUGUUUGUGCAGGACGGACACAACCAGGCGAAGAGGCACCUACUGAUGCGCAUAAGGAAGGCAACCUAUCAAAAGCCCUUGUCAUUCCUGAAGAGAAGUCAGGUUCAGUGCCGCUGGUGCAGCGUGAUCCCAUGGCCUCCCAAGACGUACACUUGCAGCUUCUGCAAGAGAGAGGAAUGGCAACAAAUUCUGGAAGCUCGUUUGAGGCCGAGAAAUCAGAUGGGGAGUGUGUUACUACUACUAAAGCACAACAGAAAGUGAGAGGUCGACGACGGAUAGAUAGCUACUUGUUCUGCUAUCAGAAUUUCUACACUCUUCCUGAGAUGAUCAAGUACAUGAAGGAGAAUCAUGGUGUAGGAGAAACCAAAGUGAAAAGUGUUUUCAGGGAACUUUUACAAGGUAGAAAAGCUGAAGCAUAUCUCAGAGAAUCACAGGAAAGAAUGAAAACAAGAACAACAACAACUACUUGAACAGAGGUGAAAAAAUCUUUUGGGCUUAUGAUCGGUGAGGGAGUAUUCAGAUAUUUUUCUUUGUUUUAGUUUGUUUGUGAUUCGGAUUUUGUUGGUUUAGGAGCUAUUAUUCUUGGAUUAGGAACUUUUUGGUUUGUGUCAAGAGUCUCAACUGAUUCAGAUUCUUUCGAAAAUAAGAAAACAUUGAUAUUUUCAGCA